CCAAUAGCGUAUAUUAAAGUUGCUGUGGUUAAAAAGCUCGUAGUUGAAUUUCGGAAUUGAUGCAUCGGUCGUGCCUUAAGGGGCAUGAACUGGUGUAGCCAAUUUCUCACUUUCUGGUGAAUUGUGAUGUUCUUAAUUGGGUGUCUCAAUGAACUGGAAUUUUUUACUUUGUAAAAAUUAGAGUGUUUAAAGCAGGCAUUAAUUUGCUUGAAUACAUUAGCAUGGAAUAAUGAAAUAGGACGGUGGUUCUGUUUUGUUGGUUUCUAGGAUCACGUAAUGGUUAAUAGGGACAGUUGGGGGCAUUAGUAUUCAAUUGUCAGAGGUGAAAUUCUUGGAUUUAUUGAAGACUAACUAUUGCGAAAGCAUUUGCCAAGGAUGUUUUCAUUAAUCAAGAACGAAAGUUAGGGGAUCAAAGACGAUUAAGUACGUCGUAGUCCUAACCAUAAACUAUGCCGACUAGGAAUCAGACGAUGUUAAUUUUUUAAUGACUCGUUUGGUACCUUACG
RNAcentral lists this unclassified non-coding RNA (506 nucleotides) under uncultured Entrophospora. RNAcentral's name for it is "bacterial SSU rRNA". It matches the Rfam family "Eukaryotic small subunit ribosomal RNA", at positions 591 to 1092 of the family's 1831-position model. Lineage: Eukaryota; Fungi; Glomeromycota; Glomeromycetes; Entrophosporales; Entrophosporaceae. The record is from RNAcentral.